This 408-nucleotide ribosomal RNA is filed under the name uncultured bacterium. Its description in RNAcentral is "partial 16S ribosomal RNA". It matches the Rfam family "Bacterial small subunit ribosomal RNA", at positions 28 to 526 of the family's 1533-position model. The record is from RNAcentral.
GACGAACGCUGGCGGCGUGCUUAACACAUGCAAGUCGAACGAAGUGGCGACCGGGUGAUUAAUACGUGGGUACCCUGCCCUCCUUUUUGGGAUAAGCCUUGGAAAGGGGGUCUAUUACCGACUAAGGGGGGAUGGGCUCGCGGCCUAUCGGCUUGUGGGUGGGUGGAUGGCCUACCAAGGCGGUGACGGGUAGCCGGCCUGAGAGGGUGACCGGCCACAUUGGGACUGAGAUACGGCCCAGACUCCUACGUGAGGCAGCAGUGGGGGAUAUUGCACAAUGGGCGAAAGCCUGAUACAGCGACGCUGCGUGGGGGAUGAAGGCCUUCGGGUUGUAAAGUACUUUCAGCGAGGAGGCGUUACUCGCAGAAGAAGCACCGGCUAACUCCGUGCCAGCCGCCGCGGUAAUAC